GUGGGGAAUAUUGCACAAUGGGCGAAAGCCUGAUGCAGCAACGCCGCGUGAGGGACGACGGCCUUCGGGUUGUAAACCUCUUUUAGUAGGGAAGAAGCGAAAGUGACGGUACCUGCAGAAAAAGCACCGGCUAACUACGUGCCAGCAGCCGCGGUAAUACGUAGGGUGCAAGCGUUAUCCGGAAUUAUUGGGCGUAAAGAGCUCGUAGGCGGUCUGUCGCGUCUGCUGUGAAAACUGGAGGCUCAACCUCCAGCCUGCAGUGGGUACGGGCAGACUAGAGUGCGGUAGGGGAGAGUGGAAUUCCUGGUGUAGCGGUGGAAUGCGCAGAUAUCAGGAGGAACACCGAUGGCGAAGGCAGAUCUCUGGGCCGUAACUGACGCUGAGGAGCGAAAGCGUGGGGAGCGAACAGGAUUAGAAACCCUAGUAGUCC
Molecule: ribosomal RNA, 430 nt
Filed under: uncultured bacterium
Lineage: Bacteria
Description: bacterial SSU rRNA
Rfam family: Bacterial small subunit ribosomal RNA
Source: RNAcentral